GAUUUUAGUGAUCUGCUGUAUCUGUUCAGUUUCAAGAGUCUUCAAAUGACUGAUAUAUGCCACGCAAGUGAUUAACCGUGUUUCAAGAGUCUACAACUAAUAAUACUUGGAACAAUUGUUCUCAUGUUUAGGAGUUAUCGGACUUGGCAAGCCAACAACAAAGGAUCUCGAAAGUCUCUAAGAUGGAAAGAAAGUAUAUGUUCUCGCGAACCGGAAAUGCUUGAAUGUGGCUAUUACGUCAUGAAGUACAUGUAUCAAAUAGUUUUACUUUGAUUACAAAGUAUUAGUAAUGUGGAAGAGAUAUUUUCUCCAAACCCGUACACUCAAGAGGAGAUCGAUGAUGUUCGAGAAAAAAUGGAGUAGAUAUUUUAUUAGUAGUUGUUUGUAGUCAUUUUCUAGUUUUCAGAGAUAGAAAUUAAACUAUAACAAAUUGUAGGCUAUUUUUUGGAAUACAAUUAUUUACAAUUGUUGAACCAACUUUCUUGUUUGAAUUAAUACAAAAAUAUAUUCGCAAU
Molecule: long non-coding RNA, 515 nt
Organism: Spinacia oleracea (spinach)
Lineage: Eukaryota; Viridiplantae; Streptophyta; Magnoliopsida; Caryophyllales; Amaranthaceae
Exons: 3
Source: RefSeq, a predicted model, not a curated record